Long non-coding RNA from Pantherophis guttatus, 1122 nucleotides. RefSeq lists it as uncharacterized. The record is from RefSeq and is a predicted model, not a curated record. NCBI's taxonomy places the organism in Eukaryota, Metazoa, Chordata, Lepidosauria, Squamata, Colubridae.
GGAGCCUCUGGAGGUUCUAAAGGCUCUGGCUGAGUCUCUGCCUCUGGCAUCCUUUUCAGCCUCCUUGCUGUCCGACGUGAGCGCUGGCUACGCAGGUUGCUGGCGUGACACCACACCAGCCUCCUCUUCAUCGGGAUCAGCCAUGAUCCGUGCAGGCCGCUGGCGGGCCACAACAACAUGCGAGCGCUCACAGUUCCUAACCGGUAGCGAAGCUCCAGUGUGGCAACACAGAAGCACCAAGAUGGCUUCAGUCAGGAAUUGUUCAUUGAAAUUGACACCUGAUCUGAAGCCAAGUGCCUUCUCUAGAGAAAAGGCCCCUACCUUGCUCUUCUGAUAAGACACGUGAAAAAAAUACUGGCACAAGAUUACCUCAGUAACCAUCCUGUGGGGUAGUUCAAGAUUCCAUGGCUGAAGGCAAGCUAGAACCUGCGUCUUCCCAGUCCUACUCCAAAACUUCUGUUCUCUUCUUGGAAAAAAUGAGGCACAUUUACUGAAGAUAUCAAUUACUAUGACAGCCUACAUUGGAAAAAAAGUGUAUUCAUACAUGGGUGUUAUCCAUUUUCUAAAGGUUAACCUCACAACAUGCUGAAUAGGAAAAUUCAUGUAUAAAUUUAUAUUAAGCUCUGUCAAUUAGGGAGGGAAAAAUGUAGAGUAGCUAUUUUGAGAGAAGGUGGGAAUGUCUUAAUCACAGGGGAAGGUAUGGAUUCAGCAGCUCACUGCAAAAUAAAAAGCUGUUACAAAACUGUUUUCCUUCAUUUGUUCUUUUGUGUCAGAUCACCUAUUUUAUAUUAUCGUGGUUUCUGUAAAUUAUCACUAAGGCCCUGAUUUGUAAUACACUGACUGUGUUUACACCUUGUGUUAAGACAUUUUUAGACACUAUUUAUUGAAUAAAUUGCAAUUUACUAGUUUUACACAAGCUAAAACAAGAAAAUAAGUUGGAUUUGGGCUUACAUGUUGAUCCAAUCAUGAUGGUUUAUUCAGAAAACUGUGACUAAAGAAGCAAUGGCUUAGUACAGCCUGGAAACAUCAUGGGAAACAUCCUUCAUUCUAAGGAAUUAGAAAACUAUACACUUUUAAUGAUGGGAAUGGAGACAAAGGCACACUAGGGAGUAGACGGAUUUC